RNAcentral lists this ribosomal RNA (563 nucleotides) under uncultured bacterium. Its description in RNAcentral is "partial 16S ribosomal RNA". It matches the Rfam family "Bacterial small subunit ribosomal RNA", at positions 355 to 912 of the family's 1533-position model. The record is from RNAcentral.
UGGGGAAUUUUGGACAAUGGGCGAAAGCCUGAUCCAGCAAUGCCGCGUGUGUGAAGAAGGCCUUCGGGUUGUAAAGCACUUUUGUCCGGAAAGAAAUCCUUGGCUCUAAUACAGUCGGGGGAUGACGGUACCGGAAGAAUAAGCACCGGCUAACUACGUGCCAGCAGCCGCGGUAAUACGUAGGGUGCAAGCGUUAAUCGGAAUUACUGGGCGUAAAGCGUGCGCAGGCGGUUUGCUAAGACCGAUGUGAAAUCCCCGGGCUCAACCUGGGAACUGCAUUGGUGACUGGCAGGCUAGAGUAUGGCAGAGGGGGGUAGAAUUCCACGUGUAGCAGUGAAAUGCGUAGAGAUGUGGAGGAAUACCGAUGGCGAAGGCAGCCCCCUGGGCCAAUACUGACGCUCAUGCACGAAAGCGUGGGGAGCAAACAGGAUUAGAUACCCUGGUAGUCCACGCCCUAAACGAUGUCAACUAGUUGUUGGGGAUUCAUUCCUUAGUAACGUAGCUAACGCGUGAAGUUGACCGCCUGGGGAGCACGGUCGCAAGAUUAAAACUCAAAGGAAUUG